Molecule: long non-coding RNA, 813 nt
Filed under: Nicotiana tabacum (common tobacco)
Lineage: Eukaryota; Viridiplantae; Streptophyta; Magnoliopsida; Solanales; Solanaceae
Description: long non-coding RNA (NTAB_LNC001152)
Source: RNAcentral
CAUAAUAGAGUUUAAUUCUUCAUAAUCACCGAUCACAUAAGUAACUCUAUGGCUAUGAGGAAAGCUUCAUACACUUUGUUUCCCUUGGUGUUUGUCAUUCUUAUCUCAAUUGGUCUCUCUCUCUCACACACACAUCUUUAAUAAACACACACUUGUUAUUUAUUUGUUUAUAUAUUCACAUAUAACCCACCUAAUGUAGAAAUCCCAUUUGGAAAUUACAAUCCUUUUAUAACAAAAUUGCAAAAUUAAUGUGAAGAGUAUAAUCACCACAUUUUCUUAAAAACCGUUUUAUUUUAUUAUUUCAUGAUCUACGACAUUUCUUUAUGUGUGCGCCUUUAGCCGAUUGAGAGGAUUUUAUAUAAAUUUUUUGUAGAGAAAGACGAACAGUAAAUAAGAAAGAGAACGAGAGUCGAAUCAAAAAGUAAUAUAAUUAUCCCUUCUCGGAAACUGAUGCUUGAGUCACGUAGAUUGACUAACCUAACUCAGUAGGCUUUCCUAUAAUUAGAUGUUUCACCGACGUGUUUUAUAAUGUUUUUGUUAUGUCGUUUCAUAAAUAAAAGUAUGAGUAGAACUGUGUUACUCAAAUUUUAUUCCUAUGUUGAUAGGUUUUCAAAGUGUGGAUGCUUGGGGCCCUCCAUGUAAAGUCAGCCAGGACUGUGUGACUUACUGUAAAGUCCCCAUUAGUAGAGGCACUCCACUAUGCCUAGGAGGACAUUGCACCUGUGAAGCUGUGGAAAACCAUGAAACUAUAGUAGCUCGAAAAUUUUUACAUGACUAGGAAUAGGGAUCUACUCUAUGAUUUUAUGUAAGAAC